RNAcentral lists this ribosomal RNA (253 nucleotides) under uncultured bacterium. Its description in RNAcentral is "partial 16S ribosomal RNA". It matches the Rfam family "Bacterial small subunit ribosomal RNA", at positions 524 to 776 of the family's 1533-position model. The record is from RNAcentral.
UACGUAGGGUGCAAGCGUUGUUCGGAAUCAUUGGGCGUAAAGCGCGUGUAGGCGGUCAAAUAAGUCGAGUGUGAAAUCCCUGGGCUCAACCGAGGAAGUGCAUCCGAAACUAUUUGGCUAGAAGAUGGCAGAGGAAGGUGGAAUUCCUAGUGUAGAGGUGAAAUUCGUAGAUAUUAGGAGGAAUACCGGCGGCGAAGGCGGCCUUCUGGACCAUUCUUGACGCUGAGACGCGAAAGCGUGGGUAGCAAACAGG